AUAUGGGUAAAUCUACUUGAUGAAACAUAAGUCUGAAACAUUUGAAAGGUUCAAAGAAUUUCAGAGUGAAGUGGAAAAUCAUCGUGACAAGAAAAUAAGAUUUCUACGAUCUGAUCGCGGAGACAAAUAUUUGAGUUACGAGUUUGGUCUUCAAUUAAAACAAUGUGGAAUAGUUUCACAAACUCAUGCCACCUGGAACACCACAGCAUAAUGGUGUGUCCGAACGUCAUAACCGUACUUUAUUGGAUAUAGUGCAAUCUAUGAUGUCUCUUACCGAUCUACCACUAUCGUUUUGGGGUUAUGCAUUAAAAGACAACUCCAUUCAUGUUAAAAAGGGCACCAUCUAAGUCCGUUGAGACGACACAAUCUGAACUGUGGUUUGGCAAGAAACCAAAGUUGUCGUUUCUUAAAAGUUUGGGGUUGCGAUGCUUAUAUGAAAAAGUUUCAUCCUGAUAAGCUCAAACCCAAAUCGGAGAAAUGUGUCUUCAUAGGAUACCCAAAGGAGACAGUUGGGUACACCUUCUAUCACAGAUCCGAAGGCAAGACAUUCGUUGCUAAGAAUGGAUCCUUUCUAGAGAAGGAGUUUCUCUCAAAAGAAGUGAGUGGGAGGAAAGUAGAACUUGAUGAGGUAACUGUACCUGCUCCCUUAUUGGAAAGUAGUUCAUCACAGAAAUCUGUUCCUGUGACUACUACACCAAUUAGUGAGGAAGCUAAUGAUGAUGAUCAUGUAACUUCCGAUCAAGUUACUACCGAACCUCGUAGGUAAACCAGAGUGAGAUCUGCACCAGAGUGGUACGGUAAUCCUAUUCUGGAAGUCAUGCUACUAGAUCAUGAUGAAGCUACGAACUAUGAGGAAGCGAUGAUGAGCCCAGAUUCCGCAAAAUGGUUUGAGGCCAUGAAAUCUGAGAUAUGAUCCAUGUAUGAGAACAAAGUAUGGACUUUGAUGGAUUUGCCCGAUGAUCGGCAAGCCAUAGAAAAUAAAUGGAUCUUCAAGAGGAAGACAGACGCUGAUAGUAGUGUUACUAUCUACAAAGCUAGAAUUGUCGCAAAAGGUUUUCGACAAGUUCAAGGUGUUGACUAGGAUGAGAGUUUCUCACUCGUAUCUAUGCUUAAGUCUGUCCAAAUCAUGUUAGCAAUUGCCACAUUUUAUGAAAUCCGGCAAAUGGAUAAACAAAACUGCAUUCCUUAAUGGAUUUAUUAAAGAAGAGUUGUAUAUGAUGCAACCAGAAGGUUUUGUCAAUCCUAAAGGUGCUAAUAUAACAAAAUAUGCAAGCCCCAGCGAUCUAUGGACUGGUGCAAGCAUCUCAGAGUUGGAAUAUAUGCUUUGAUAAGUUGAUCAAAGGAUAUAGUUUUAUACAGACUUGCGGUGAAGCCUGUAUUUACAAGAAAGUGAGUGGGAGCACUACAGCAUUUCUGAUAAGCAUAUGUGAAUGACAUAUUGUUGAUCAGAAAUAAUGUAGAAUUAUUCUGCAAAGCAUAAAGGAGUGUUUGAAAGGAGUUUUUUCAAAGAAAGACCUCGGUGAAGCUGCUUACAUAUUGAGCAUCAAGAUCUAUGGAGAUACAAUAGUGAUCUAGGAGUAGAUCACUGGACAGCGGUCAAAAUUAUCCUUAGUGGAAUAAGGAUAUGUUUCUCAAUUAUGGAGGUGACAAAAAGGUUCGCCGUAAAGGGCUACGUCGAUGCAAGUUUUGACACUGAUCUGGAUGACUCUAAGUCUCGAUCCAGAUACAUAUUGAAAGUGGGAGCAAUUAGCUAGAGUUGCUCCGUGCAGAGCAUUGUAGACAUAGAAAAUUGCAAAAUACAUAACGGAUCUGAAUGUGAAAGACCCGUUGACUAAGAUUCUCUCACAAGCAAAACAUGAUCACACCUUAAUACUCUUUGGGUGUUAAUCACAUAGAGAUGUGAACUAGAUUACUGAAUCUAGUAAACCCUUUGGGUGUUGGUCACAUGGCGAUGUGAACUAUGGGUGUUAAUCACAUGAUGAUGUGAACUAUCGAUGUUAAUCACAUGGUGAUGUGAUCUAGAUUAUUGACUCUAGUGCAAGUGGGAGACUGAAGGAAAUAUGCCCUAGAGGCAAUAAUAAAGUUAUUAUUUAUUUCCUUAUUUCAUGAUAAAUGUUUAUUAUUAAUGAUAGAAUUGUAUUAACCGGAAACAUAAUACAUGUGUGAAUAUAUAGACAAACAGAGUGUCACUAGUAUGCCUCUACUUGACUAGCUCGUUAAUCAAAGAUGGUUAUGUUUCCUAACCAUGGACAAAGAGUUGUUAUUUGAUUAAUGGGAUCACAUCAUUAGGAGAAUGAUCUGAUUGACAUGACCCAUUCCAUUAGCUUAGCACUUGAUCGUUUAGUUUGUUGCUGUUGCUUUCUUCAUGACUUAUACAUGUUCCUAUGACUAUGAGAUUAUGCAACUCCCGUUUACCGGAGGAACACUUUGUGUGCUACCAAACGUCACAACGUAACUGGGUGAUUAUAAAGGUGCUCUACAGGUGUCUCCAAAGGUACUUGUUGGGUUGGCGUAUUUCGAGAUUAGGAUUUGUCACUCCGAAUGUCGGAGAGGUAUCUCUGGGCCCUCUCGGUAAUGCACAUCACUUAAGCCUUGCAAGCAUUGCAACUAAUGAGUUGGUUGCGGGAUGAUGUAUUACGGAACGAGUAAAGAGACUUGCCGGUAACGAGAUUGAACUAGGUAUUGGAUACCGACGAUCGAAUCUCGGGCAAGUAACAUACCGAUGACAAAGGGAACAACGUAUGUUGUUAUGCGGUCUGACCGAUAAAGAUCUUCGUAGAAUAUGUAGGAGCCAAUAUGAGCAUCCAGGUUCCGCUAUUGGUUAUUGACCGGAGACGUGUCUCGGUCAUGUCUACAUUGUUCUCGAACCCGUAGGGUCCGCACGCUUAAGGUUUCGAUGACAGUUUCAUUAUGAGUUUAUGAGUUUUGAUGUACCGAAGUAGUUCGGAGUCCCGGAUGAGAUCGGCGACAUGACGAGGAGUCUCGAAAUGGUUGAGAUGUAAAAAUCGAUAUAUUGGACGACUAUAUUCGGACUUCGGAAAGGUCCCGAGUGGUUCGGGUAUUUUUCGGAGUACCGGGGAGUUACGGGAAUACGGGGGAGAAGUAUUGGGCCUUAUUGGGCCAUACGGGAAAGAGAGAGAGGGGCUGCCUAGGGCAGGCCGCGCGCCCCCCCAAGGCCUAGUCCGAAUUGGACUAGGGGGAGGGGCGGCGCCCCCUCCUUCCUUCCCUUCUCCUUUCCCCUUCCUUGUCUCCUACUCCUACUACAUGGAAGGACUCCUAGUUGGACUAGGAAAGGGGGAAUCCGACUCCCGGUGGGAGUAGGACUCCCCUAGGGCGCGCCAUAGAGAGGGCCGUCCCUCCCGUCCUCCACUCCUUUAUAUACGGGGGCCGGGGGCACCCCAUAGACACACAAGUUGAUCCGCGUGAUCGUUCCUUAGCCGUGUGCGGUGCCCCCCUCCAUGAUAUUACACCUCGGUCAUAUUGUAGUGGUGCUUAGGCGAAGCCCUGCAACGGUUGAACAUCAAGAUCGUCACCAGCCGUCGUGCUGACGGAAAUCCCCCCGAAGCUUUGCUGGAUCGGAGCCCGGGAUGCGUCAUCGAGCUGAACGUGUGCAGAACUCGGAGGUGCCGUCCGUUCGGUGCUUGGAUCGGUCAGAUCGGGAAGACGUAUGACUACUUCCUCUACGUUGUGUCAACGCUUCCGCUUCGGUCUACGAGGGUACAUAGACAACACUCUCCCCUCUCGUUGCUAUGCAUCACCAUGAUCUUGCAUGUGCGUAGGAAUUUUUUUUUUGAAAUUACUACGUUCCCCAACAGUGGCAUCAGAGCCAAGGUUUUUAUGGUUUGAUGUUAUAUGCACGAGUAGAACACAAGUGAGUUAUGGGCGAUAUAAGUCAUACUGCUUACCAGCAUGUCAUACUUUGGUUCGGCGGUAUUGUUGGAUGAAGCGGCCCGGACCGACAUUACGCGUACGCUUACGCGAGACUGGUUCUACCGCCGUGCUUUGCACACAGGUGGCUGGCGGGUGUCAGUUUCUCCAACUUUAGUUGAGCCGAGUGUGGCUACGCCCGGUCCUUGCGAAGGUUAAAACAGCACCAACUUGACAAACUAUCGUUGUGGUUUUGAUGCGUAGGUAAGAACGGUUCUUGCUAAGCCCGUAGCAACCACGUAAAACUUGCAACAACAAAGUAGAGGACGUCUAACUUGUUUUUGCAGUGCAUGUUGUGAUGUGAUAUGGUCAAGACGUGAUGAGAUAUAAGUUGUUGUAUGAGAUGAUCAUGUUUUGUUGAAAUUAUGGGAAACUGGUAAAAGCCUUAUGGUUGUCUCUCUAUUGCAUAAGAUGCAAGCACCAAAUAGUUGCUUUACUUUAUCGCUAUGCGAUAGCAAUAGUUGCAAGAGCAAUUGUUGGCGAGACGACUAUGUGACGACACAUUGAUAUAGAUCAAGAUGAUGGAGAUCAUGGUGUCAUGCCGGUGACGAUGGAAAUCAUGACGAUGCUUUGGAGAUAAAGAUCAAAGGCACAAGAUGAUGAUGGCCAUAUCAUAUCACAUAUUUUGAUUACAUGUGAUGUUUAUCUUUCAUACAUCUUAUUUUGCUUAGUUCGACGAUAGCUUUAUAAGAUGAUCCCUCACUAAAUUAUCAAGGUAUAAGUGUUCUCCCUGAGUAUGCACCGUUGCGAAAGUUCUUCGUGCUGAGACACCACGUGAUGAUCGGGUGUGAUAGGCUCUACAUUCAAAUACAACGGGUGCAAAACAGUUGCACACGCGGAAUACUCAGGUUAAACUUGACGACCCUAGCAUAUAACAGAUAUGGCCUCGGAACACUAAAACCGAAAGGUCGAGCGUGAAUCAUAUAGUAGUUAUGAUCAACAUAGUGAUGUUCACCAUUGAAACUACUCCAUCUCACGUCAUGAUCGGACAUGGUUUAGUUGAUUUGGAUCACGUGAUCACUUAGAGGAUUAGAGGGAUGUCUAUCUAAGUGGGAGUUCUUAAGUAAUAUGAUUAAUUGAACUUUAAUUUAUCAUGAACUUAGUCCUGAUAGUAUUUUGCAAAUUAUGUUGUAGAUCAAUAGCUCGCGUUCUAUAGCUAAAAGAUGGAGGAGAAUCGCUCAAACAGUGAGCAUGUGCUUAGAUUGUCUGGGUACUACAAUCGCUUGAAUCAAGUGGGAGUUAAUCUUUCAGAUAAGAUAGUGAUUGACAGAAUUCUCUAGUCACCAUCACCAAGUUAGUAGAACUUUGUGAUGAACUAUAAAAUGCAAGGGAUAACGGAUACAAUUCCCAAGCUCUUCGUGAUGCUAAAAUCGACGAAGGUAGAAAUCAAGAAAAAACAUCAAGUGUUGAUGGUUGACGAGACCACUAGUUUCAACAAAACGGCAAAGGGAAGAAGGGGAACUUCAUGUAGAACGGCAAGCAAGUUGCUUCUCAAGUGAAGAAGCCCAAGUCUGGACCUAAGCCUGAGACUAAGUGCUUCUACUACAAAGGAACAGGUCGCUAGAAGCGGAACUGCCCCAAGUAUUUGGCAGAUAAGAAGGAUGGCAAAGUGAACAAAGGUAUAUUUGAUAUACAUGUUAUUGAUGUGUACUUUACUAGUGUUUAUAGCAACCCCUCAGCAUUUGAUACUAGUUCAGUUGCUAAGAUUAGUAACUCAAAACGGGAGUUGCAGAAUGAACAGAGACUAGUUAAGGGUGAAGUGACAAAUGAGAGUUAGAAGUCGUUCCAACAUUGAUAUGAUCGUCAUCGCACACUCCCUAUACUUUCGGAAUUAGUGUGGAACCUAAAUAAGUGUUAUUUGGUGUUGAGCAUGAAUAUGAUUUGAUCAUGUUUAUUGCAAUACGGUUAUUCAUUUAAGUAAGAGAAUAAAUUGUUGUUCUGUUUACAUGAAUAAAACCUUAUAUGGUUACACACCCAAUGAAAAUGGUUCAUUGGAUCUCGAUCGUAGUGAUACACAUAUUCAUAAUAUUGAAGCCAAAAGAUGCAAAGUUAAUAAUGAUAGUGCAACUUAUUUGUGGCACUGCCGUUUAGGUCAUAUUGGUAUAAAGUGCAUGAAGAAACUCCAUGCUGAUGGGAUUUUGGAAUCACUUGAUGCUUGCGAACCAUGCCGCAUGGGCAAGAUGACUAAAACGCCGUUCUCCGGAACAAUGGAGCAAGCAACUGUCUUAUUGGAAAUAAUACAUACUAAUGUAUGCGAUCCGAUGAGUGUUAAGGCUCACGACAAGUAUCAUUAUUUUCUGAACUUCGCAGAUGAUUUGAGCAGAUAUGGGUAAAUCUAGCUGAUGAAACAUAAGUCUAAAACAUUUGAAAGGUUCAAAGAAUUUCAGAGUGAAGUGGAAAAUCAUCAUGACAAGAAAAUAAGGUUUGUACGAUCUGAUCACGGAGACAAAUAUUUGAGUUACGAGUUUGGUCUUCAAUUAAAACAAUGUGGAAUAGUUUCACAAACUCAUGCCACCUGGAACACCAC
Molecule: long non-coding RNA, 6454 nt
Filed under: Triticum aestivum (bread wheat)
Lineage: Eukaryota; Viridiplantae; Streptophyta; Magnoliopsida; Poales; Poaceae
Description: long non-coding RNA (TAES_LNC026888)
Source: RNAcentral